AUACGUAGGGGGCGAGCGUUAUCCGGAAUUAUUGGGCGUAAAGAGUACGUAGGUGGUUUCCUAAGCGAGGGGUUUAAGGCAAUAGCUUAACUAUUGUUCGCCCCCCGAACUGGGUAACUUGAGCGCUGGAGAGGAAAGCGGAAUUCCUAGUGUAGCGGUGAAAUGCGUAGAUAUUAGGAGGAACACCAGUGGCGAAGGCGGCUUUCUGGACAGUAACUGACACUGAGGUACGAAAGUGUGGGGAGCAAACAGGAUUAGAUACCCUGGUAGUCCACACCGUAAACGAUGAGCACUAGGUGUCGGGUCCGCAAGAACUCGGUGCCGCAGUUAACGCAUUAAGUGCUCCGCCUGGGGAGUACGUACGCAAGUAUGAAACUCAAAUGAAUUGACGGGG
Molecule: ribosomal RNA, 394 nt
Filed under: uncultured bacterium
Lineage: Bacteria
Description: partial 16S ribosomal RNA
Rfam family: Bacterial small subunit ribosomal RNA
Source: RNAcentral